UACAGAGGGUGCGAGCGUUAAUCGGAAUUACUGGGCGUAAAGCGCACGUAGGUGGCUUGACAAGUCGGUUGUGAAAGCCCCGGGCUCAACCUGGGAACUGCAUCCGAGACUGUCUUGCUAGAGUAUGGGAGAGGGAAGUGGAAUUUCCGGUGUAGCGGUGAAAUGCGUAGAUAUCGGAAGGAACAUCAGUGGCGAAGGCGACUUCCUGGACCAAUACUGACACUCAAGUGCGAAAGCGUGGGGAGCAAACAGG
This 253-nucleotide ribosomal RNA is filed under the name uncultured bacterium. RNAcentral describes it as "partial 16S ribosomal RNA". It matches the Rfam family "Bacterial small subunit ribosomal RNA", at positions 524 to 776 of the family's 1533-position model. The record is from RNAcentral.